AGAGAUGGGCGGAAAAUUUGAAUAAUUAAUAAAAAUUCGGAAAAAAUUAGAAAAAAUCGGAAAAAAUUAGAAAAAAAUUGGUAAUGAAUCUGGGAUAGUGUAACCCCAUUUUAAUGUCAUAAUACGCAUCCAAGGUUAGAGGAAGAUGCGGUAAUUGACAACCUAAUUAGAAAAACGAAAGAACAAGGGAAAAGUGAGCAACAAUUCUGGAAUGGUGCAUUUUGAUGGUCUCUCUCCUUCACCUUGACGAGCGUGCAUGGACGAAAGAAUAGAUGACGUUUGCAGUUAACCCUCCACAUCAGAAAAAAUUCAGAGAAUUCAGUUGCUUUAUUAUCUCUAAGGAAACAUGUUUGAAGUGCAGCGUACUCUACUUUCCUUCUUGAAUCUCGAAACAUUUUUUCAAAGGUUGUACAGAACACAAGGAGUGCAUGUUCGGUUUGCCCUGAGCCCAACAGGUUACCUGCAUCUCGGAGGCCUCCGUACAGCUCUGUGCAACAUGAUGCAACUAUUCUUUGGCUCGAGAAAACCAAGGGUAUUCUAUUCUGCCCUUGGAAGACACGCACUAAACAGGAAUCAUACCAGAUGCUGCCGGUAACCUCCAAGAGGAUCCAUACUGGACUGAAAUCAUCCCCCACAAAGACUCGACAAGGGGAGGACCCGCAGGCUCCUACUUUCUAUCAAAGCGUCUCGAAUUAUACAACGAGCAGGUUCAAGAAGUUUUCCUCCAAAAUGGCUUGGCUUGACGCUGUUUUUAUUCAGACAAUGGACUGGGCCUCCUAGGACAAGAAUUGUUGAGGCUUAGGCAAACACCGAAGCAUGACAAUUGCAGACACCUGAGCAAAGAGGACCUGAUAAUUCGGGGUGAGGAGAAUCUCAUUACUUCAGAUCUAAAGUACGAGAAAGAUGUUUGGCUGUUGAUUCGACUCUAAGAGGAUAACUGGGUUCAUAAGAUCACCGAGUAUAUGUAUACAACAUAAUUGUAGGCGCCAUGGCGAAACGAGAGGGAUGCAGGCGAGGUGUUUUUGGAUAAUAUCAGUGUCUUUUAUCAUUUAUGAAUGAUGUAAGUAUGAUCAUUAUUUGGGUUUCAGUUUUUCAUUUUGUACACAGGGAUGCUCAAAUCAAAGAAAGAGACUGCGGCGAUGAGGUUGUACCGGAGGAAGAAUUACCACCUUUCCUUUAACUCGAAGAUUGGAUUCGCAAAAUCCUGAGCGGAGGAUGAUCAACCGAUUUCUGUGUACUAUUUAUCCGGUAUCAUCCAUACCUGGUGGAAAAAGUCUGGUUAGAGCAUUGCUUUAUCGAAUGUAGGACUGAGUGAUGUCUUGAUCGUUCGGCAGAGGAGUAGAAUGAAUGCGUGCACAUGAUGAGGCACCAGAUCUAGGAAUACCUCCUCGGGUUUCCUGUUCUGCUGAUAGAAAAUCAAAUUUUUGGCCUGAAUUUCAAACUUCAGGGCCGCCUUUCUGGAUUAUUAUUUCUGUUCAGAGAAAAAGGUCCUGUCAUUCAUAUCCUGCAUCGAGAGGGAUGAAUAUAUAUAAUCCAGGAUGUCCUUGGGUCGUUCUCUGCCCAUUUCUGCAUGCGAAUCCAUCUAGUCGAUUAGUUAGUCCAUCAUUCGACAUGAAGAUAUUUCCAGUGUUUCUAAUUGAAAUGGUUUUCCAGAAAAGCAAAGAAAUUGCAAGACCUCCACAGUUUGCAGUCGUUAUUCGAGUUUGUAAUCAGAUCUUGGCUUCCUAGACUGAAAUAUAAAGAUUCACUGCAUUGUCAUUAUUCUUUAUCCUUUCCCCUAUUUUUCCUGAAUCAUUUUCAAUAUUUCUAUGGAUUUCCAAUCAAUUAAUAGACGUCCGCUAUCCCCUGUCAGUACCCGAUAAUCCGCAGGUGGAGCGACACAACCUCCAGUUUAUUUCUCGAGCCUUUUCAAAGUCGUUUUCUAAUUUCUUCGAUUUUUUAAUUAAAUAUUCAAUCUUGUCCAGCCCUUCAAGGCUUGUGAUGAUAUGCGCACCCGCAUUAUACGCAAAAUCUUCACUGUAAGGCGGGUCACCCGAAGUCAAGGGGCAAGAAACUUGGAAAAAUAGUUUGCCUAAAUUCCGCGGAAGAGAAUUUCGACUAAUGGCGCUACUUGUCACUUUUUUGGCGGGGAAGAUGUGCUACUUGAAUGAUCAAUUGAAAAACGGAAAAUGAAUCGGGAAAAACCGGAAAUAAUAAAGAAAAUAUUGGAAAUAAAUUUGGGAUGGUGAAGCUGGCUUGCUCUUCUGCAUUU
Molecule: long non-coding RNA, 2251 nt
Organism: Athalia rosae (coleseed sawfly)
Lineage: Eukaryota; Metazoa; Arthropoda; Insecta; Hymenoptera; Athaliidae
Exons: 4
Source: RefSeq, a predicted model, not a curated record